Felis catus (domestic cat) is the source of this 1050-nucleotide long non-coding RNA. RefSeq lists it as uncharacterized. Lineage: Eukaryota; Metazoa; Chordata; Mammalia; Carnivora; Felidae. The transcript is spliced from 4 exons. The record is from RefSeq and is a predicted model, not a curated record.
CUUUCAGACAAAAUCCGACUUCUACCAGUUUAUAAUAACUCACCAGCUGUACCCUUAGGUGUCCGCUUCCACAAUCAAACUUCUAAUAUUUUGAAGAUCCUGACAAAGCCUGAUGCUGUCAUCCAGACAACAAACGAUUACUGAGAAACAGACAGAAGAUGGGCUGACCAUGGUUUAGAAGUGCACAAGGUUCCACAUAAAAAUACCAGUGAGUCACCCGAAUCUUGCUCUUUCUGAAAACCUGGAAUGACAAAUCCACAAAGGAUUUUACAUGUGUUCACCACAGCAUCUCUUCUUUACAGGCACAUUAACAGAAGAAUGCAUGAAGCAACAAGGGGUUUUCAAGCACAGGGGCUUCAUAUAGCCCCCUAAUUGGGAUCCAGGAGAUACAUUCCAUCACAAACAAGUAAGUAGGAGAUAUAAAUGCCAACUGCCUAAUUUUUGUAUUUUCAGAAAAUCCUCAUUUCCUAUAACUUUAUUUUGGAGAAAUAGGUUGAAUACUAUUGAAGAGGAAAAGGAAUUAUGUGCUAGUUUUCAGAGAUAAAAAUGAAACAUCAGACUUCUAGAUUUCUGUUAUCCUAAGGACAAAUGUUUUUUCUGAAGUACCAUGCUCACCCAAGAUGACCAAUACUCUAGGAAGAAUAAAUAUCUCCUAUGACAACCCUUAGAUAAAGAUUAGACAUGCCUGAUUCACAGGCCUCUCCAGGAAAACAUGUUCUAUCAGAAAAGACAACAGAAAAUGAUGUGUAAAUAAGGGGAAAAUUGUGAGUUUAAUUUAGGAAAUCUUAACUUUUAUAAGACUAACUCUUGACUUCAAGAAGCCCUACCAAAAUGCUCUUUCCAAUCAUUGCAGUAUUCUCCCUGAAAGUAGAUCUAGCUGGUACAAAUGUCUUCUUCAUGUUACAUUUGAGCAGUAAUUUAUGGAUAUCGUCCUUCCAUUCAUGGAUAGAUAUCAGCCUUUUUGGUAGGAACAUAGUCAGCAAGAGAAGGAUUGGCAGGAUUCAGUGAUAGUGGAGCAAAGAUGAUACUUGGUUCUCUAUGCCAAUUGCA